This 492-nucleotide ribosomal RNA is filed under the name uncultured bacterium. RNAcentral's name for it is "partial 16S ribosomal RNA". It matches the Rfam family "Bacterial small subunit ribosomal RNA", at positions 29 to 507 of the family's 1533-position model. The record is from RNAcentral.
AGCGAACGCUGGCGGUAGGCCUAACACAUGCAAGUCGAGCGGCAGCACAGUAAGAGCUUGCUCUUACGGGUGGCGAGUGGCGGACGGGUGAGGAAUAUAUCGGAAUCUACUCUUUCGGGGGGGAUAACGUAGGGAAACUUACGCUAAUACCGCAUACGACCCACGGGGGAAAGCAGGGGAUCUUCGGACCUUGCGCGAAUGAAUGAGCCGAUGAUGGAUUGGCUAGUUGGCGGGGUAAAGGCCCACCCAGUCGACGAUCCGUAGCUGGUCUGAGAGGAUGGUCGGCCACACUGGAACUGAGACACGGUCCAGGCUCCUACGGGAGGCAGCAGUGGGGAAUAUUGGACAAUGGGCGGGAGCCUGAUCCAGCCAUACCGCGUGGGUGAAGGAGGCCUUCGGGUUGUAAAGCCCUUUUGUUGGGAAAGAAAAGCAGCAGGUUGUUACCCCGCUGUUCUGACGGUACCCAAAGAAUAAGCACCGGCUAACUUCGUG